Molecule: long non-coding RNA, 2049 nt
Organism: Lagenorhynchus albirostris (white-beaked dolphin)
Lineage: Eukaryota; Metazoa; Chordata; Mammalia; Artiodactyla; Delphinidae
Exons: 5
Source: RefSeq, a predicted model, not a curated record
GCGGCGCGAGGAGAGGCCCACCCCGCUGGCCGCGAGCCCCGCCUCACUACUACGCAGAUGGGGGCGUGGCCUUAUCUCGUCACGCCCCCUCCGCUCGCCCCUCAGCGGCCGGGGGAGGUGUGUGGUGGGGCUCGGGUGGGCGAGACCAUUCGCGAUGGUCCGGCGGGGAGGGCGGGCUGUACCAUCCGCGGGAGGAGCCUCGGGUCCUCUUCGCGCGCCAGGGCGCCGCGGGGCCCGGCCCCCCCGGGCUGCCCUCGGAGGCAGGGCCGCGCGGGCGUUUGGCGCCCAGGCCGCUACUCUGCGCAGCGCCCUCUUUGUGUACAGGCCCGCGGCAGCCCCCCGCUUUCUUCCCCGCGGAUGCGCACGUGCGUCCCGAGCGCGGCGGCUGUGCCCAGAGACCCGCCUGACCCCGAGCGCCCUUAGCCCUGGUCCCGGCUCCAGCCACUGCAGCACGCUCGCCUCUGGUCUCGCGCUCUGCCCUCAGGCACCUGUCCCCCGGUGAUCCACGCAAGGCCCAGUCUGUAGGUGAAGUGGCCUCCCUUAGAGCGACCCGGAAAGUGUGGUCGUAUUUCAAGGUGGACUUUCAAAGGCGGUGCUGCCUUGCGUCCGCGGGCCCCGCCGGUGGCCGUGCGCUCCAAGACGUGAAGGGAAGGGCAGGCCUUCCCUAGUGCAGAGGCACGGGGCUUGGCUGACUGUCCAUUUUUGCGGAAACCUUCCUCCUGUGUGGGAUCGCUGUCUGGAGAAGGGCUCCCGCGCUGCUCCGGGAAGAAGCAGACCCAGGACGGGAACACGUGGCUGAAAGGGCCAUCUCCAGAAAAGAGGAAGAGCUGCAGGUGCCGUCGGUGAUCCCCUCCAGAAUACCUCAAGGUGUGAUGCAAUAACUUGAGGGCCACGGAGUAGUAACUCGGUCUUGUGUUUACGAGGCAUCCUUCUCCAAGGGAAGCAAGGUGCUCUAAGGACAGCUCAUGUGCGGUACACAGGGGCAGCUCCAACGUUCCUGCGAGGAGAAUGACAGCAAACACCAUCUCCCGCCAAGACAUCCUGAGUGUCUGGGGUUUUCUGCUGAGCUUUGGAUGCCGCCGCGUCGAGGAAACUUUGCCAGACGCGCGUCACCCCCUCCGGCCUCCCCACAAGGGUGGGGCUUCCGGGGCAGCUCCCAGAGGCUAGAAGGCCAGUUCGGGAGUUUCCUCGGCGCCUCGAGGCAGCCCCUGGGCAGCUGUCAUACAACAAGAAUUUAGCCGUCUUUGUCUCCGGUUCCGGCUCAACCCCUCAGACCACACCUGAGUUUAUGCUAAUGAGGCGCUGGAAACUCAGAUGGGCGUCUGGAUCACGUGGCUGUGCUGAUGGGCGGAGAGCGCACCCAAGGGCCCUCCCGGACCUCACCUGUAGUCAUCGGGACCUGCUUUCCUGAGUUCCGUGAGCCAUUCUGGCGAACGAUGGAACUGGAGGGGGUGCCGGGAACCCCCCAAUUUGUAGCCAGUUGGUCAGAAGCACGAGGGGCCUGGAACCCCCAAAGUGCAGCUGGUGUCCGGAGUGAGGACGGUCUUGUGGGGGGCCGUGUCCUCAACCUGCAGGGUCUGCGCUGAGCCUGGAGUUGGUGUCAGGGUCGUGCCGCUCACCCCAGCGCACUCGCCUUGGGCCCAGGCGCCCGGUCCAGAUCUGUCCUGCGACCAGCCCCAGGUCUCAACAUGGCACCCCGGGGGCCUGGGGGCCACGCCCUAAGAGGAGGCAGUACCUCCAGCCUCACCGCGAGCGCGGGGAUGGGCCCGCUGCCCUAACGUUUCCCCGCGUCGCCGCUUCGUGUACGUUUGGGAACGGAGCAGUUGUAGUAGAUUUUGUUAUCGAAUAACACACGUCGUUGAAAGCUCAAAUAUAGAAGCAAACAAAAAUAUAGACGCCGAUAAAUGAAAAUACCCCCAGUGUCCCCAUGGGCUGUCGCCGUGCCCUGGAAGAGGUGCCCUUUUCAGGGGAGAAGGAGGAAGCCGGCCCGGUUCCCGCAGGGAAGGCGGGGAUGCUGCACCCGCCCCCAACCCUCCCCCUGCCCCCUCC